RNAcentral lists this ribosomal RNA (374 nucleotides) under uncultured prokaryote. RNAcentral's name for it is "bacterial SSU rRNA". It matches the Rfam family "Bacterial small subunit ribosomal RNA", at positions 524 to 896 of the family's 1533-position model. The record is from RNAcentral.
UACGGAGGGUGCGAGCGUUAAUCGGAAUUACUGGGCGUAAAGCGCGCGUAGGCGGCUCAUUAAGUCGGAUGUGAAAUCCCUGGGCUUAACCUAGGAACUGCAUUCGAUACUGGUAAGCUAGAGUAUGGUAGAGGAAAGCGGAAUUCCCGGUGUAGCGGUGAAAUGCGUAGAUAUCGGGAGGAACAUCAGUGGCGAAGGCGGCUUUCUGGACCAAUACUGACGCUGAGGCGCGAAAGCGUGGGUAGCAAACAGGAUUAGAUACCCUGGUAGUCCACGCCCUAAACGAUGUCAACUAGCCGUUGGGUUCAUUUAAGAGCUUAGUGGCGCAGCUAACGCGAUAAGUUGACCGCCUGGGGAGUACGGCCGCAAGGUUA